This 493-nucleotide ribosomal RNA is filed under the name uncultured bacterium. RNAcentral describes it as "bacterial SSU rRNA". It matches the Rfam family "Bacterial small subunit ribosomal RNA", at positions 28 to 507 of the family's 1533-position model. The record is from RNAcentral.
GAUGAACGCUAGCUACAGGCUUAACACAUGCAAGUCGAGGGGAAACGAUAUUGGAAGCUUGCUUCCGAUAGGCGUCGACCGGCGCACGGGUGAGUAACGCGUAUCCAACCUGCCCACCACUUGGGGAUAACCUUGCGAAAGUAAGACUAAUACCCGAUGAUAUCCCUAGAAGACAUCUGAAAGGGAUUAAAGAUUUAUCGGUGAUGGAUGGGGAUGCGUCUGAUUAGCUUGUUGGCGGGGUAACGGCCCACCAAGGCAACGAUCAGUAGGGGUUCUGAGAGGAAGGUCCCCCACAUUGGAACUGAGACACGGUCCAAACUCCUACGGGAGGCAGCAGUGAGGAAUAUUGGUCAAUGGGCGCAAGCCUGAACCAGCCAAGUAGCGUGAGGGACGACGGCCCUAUGGGUUGUAAACCUCUUUUAUGCGGGGGAUAACCGGUGCCACGCGUGGCGCCCUGCAGGUACCGCAUGAAUAAGGACCGGCUAAUUCCGUG